RNAcentral lists this transfer RNA (71 nucleotides) under Heliconius melpomene (postman butterfly). RNAcentral describes it as "tRNA HMEL006345". It matches the Rfam family "tRNA". From Rfam's summary of the family: Transfer RNA (tRNA) molecules are approximately 80 nucleotides in length. Lineage: Eukaryota; Metazoa; Arthropoda; Insecta; Lepidoptera; Nymphalidae. The record is from RNAcentral.
GAACGUAUUGCGUAGUGGUGAGGCGUUUGGUCGGUUUCUACGAGGCGCGGGUUCAAAUCCCGCUACGUUCA